AGAGUAGUAGAGCCAUGCGGAAUCUAUUGCAUAGAGUGGAGUAGGGUAGUGGCCAUUGUCGUGACUUGCCAGAGAGUUCGGAUCUAUCGGCUGAAGCUCGACUGGGAUAUCUGAUGGAGCGGAAUGGCCUCUACCCUGUCGAUCUAGGAAAAGCUCGGAUGUUUUUGAGACUGCUGACGAGUCUACUAUUGUCGGAUGCCUCAGGUGCUGAUGCCACAGACGGGAGUCAUCUGCUGUAGAAGCUCGGAUGGAGACUUUCCAUUGGUGAAGUCUGGUAGGAG
Molecule: long non-coding RNA, 281 nt
Filed under: Elaeis guineensis (African oil palm)
Lineage: Eukaryota; Viridiplantae; Streptophyta; Magnoliopsida; Arecales; Arecaceae
Description: long non-coding RNA (EGUI_LNC080145)
Source: RNAcentral